Molecule: small nuclear RNA, 21 nt
Filed under: Arabidopsis thaliana (thale cress)
Lineage: Eukaryota; Viridiplantae; Streptophyta; Magnoliopsida; Brassicales; Brassicaceae
Description: snRNA_03231
Source: RNAcentral
CGUGCCCGGACCCUGUCGCAC